UCAAGUUAUUAAGGGUGCAGGGCGAAUGCCUUGGCACUAGGAGCCGAUGAAGGACGUGAUAAGCUGCGAUAAGCUUCGGGGAGUUGCACGUAAACUUUGAUCCGAAGAUUUCCGAAUGAGGAAACUCACUUAGAGUAAUGUCUAAGUAUCGUAUGAUGAAUACAUAGUCAUGCGAGGGGAACCCGGAGAACUGAAACAUCUAAGUACCCGGAGGAAGAGAAAGAAAUUCGAUUCCGUAAGUAGCGGCGAGCGAACGCGGAACAGGCCAAACCAGUGAAGUUUUCUUCGCUGGGGUUGCGGACAUAUCAUAACGAAGAGGUAUCGUAGAAGAAGAGAGUUGGAAAGCUCCGCCAUAGAUGGUAACAGCCCAGUACUUUAAACGAGAAGACUUUAGAUAUGAUCCAGAGUACCACGGGACACGUGAAACCCUGUGGGAAGCAGGAGGGACCAUCCUCCAAGCCUAAAUACUACCUAGUGACCGAUAGCGUAUAGUACCGUGAGGGAAAGGUGAAAAGAACCCCGGGAGGGGAGUGAAAGAGAACCUGAAACCCUGCACUUACAAGCUGUAGGAGCACAUUAUUUGUGUGACUGCGUACUUUUUGUAGAACGGGCCAACGAGUUACGUUGUGUAGCAAGGUUAAGCACUUAAGGUGUGGAGCCGUAGCGAAAGCGAGUCUUAAAUGGGCGUCCAGUUACCCGACGUAGACCCGAAACCAGGCGACCUAUCCAUGAGCAGGUUGAAGCGAAAGUAAAAUUUCGUGGAGGACCGAACCCACGUACGUUGAAAAGUGCGGGGAUGACUUGUGGAUAGCGGUGAAAUUCCAAUCGAGCCUGGAGAUAGCUGGUUCUCCCCGAAAUAGCUUUAGGGCUAGCCUCAAGCUUAGAGAAACGGAGGUAGAGCACUGAAUGUCCUAGGGGGUAUUGCACUUACCGAAGACUAUCAAACUCCGAAUGCCGUAUUCUUUUGCUUGGGAGUCAGACUAUGGGUGAUAAGAUUCAUAGUCAAGAGGGCAACAGCCCAGAUCGUCAGCUAAGGUCCCUAAAUGUAAGUUAAGUGGUAAAGGAUGUGGAAUUGCACAGACAACCAGGAUGUUGGCUUAGAAGCAGCCACUCAUUUAAAGAGUGCGUAAUAGCUCACUGGUCGAGUGAUUCUGCGCCGAAAAUUUCCGGGGCUAAAACUUACUACCGAAGCUACGGCAUCAUUAUGAUGGGUAGGGGAGCUUUCUAUGCGGCUUGAAGCAUGACCGUAAGGACAUGUGGACUGCAUAGAAGUGAGAAUGUUGGCAUGAGUAGCGAGAUGUGGGUGAGAAUCCCACAGGCCGUAAACCCAAGGUUUCCAGGGGAAGGUUCGUCCGCCCUGGGUUAGUCAGGACCUAAGCCGAGGCCGAAAGGCGUAGGUGAUGGACAACAGGUUGAUAUUCCUGUACCACCAAUAACCGUUUGAGAAAUGGGAUGACACAGUAGGAUAAGCUAACCGCACUGUUGGUUAUGUGCGGGCAAGUAUUGAGGCAGUUCCGAUAGGCAAAUCCGUCGGAAUAAUGCUGGGGUACGAUGCGGAGCGAAAUUUAGUAGCGAAGUAGCUGAUUUCACACUGUCGAGAAAAGUCUCUAUCGAGGUUAAAGGUGCCUGUACCGCAAACCGACACAGGUGGGUGAGGAGAGUAUCCUAAGGCCAGCGAGAGAACUGUUGUUAAGGAACUCGGCAAAAUGACCCCGUAACUUAGGGAGAAGGGGUGCCUUCGAAAGAAGGCCGCAGAGAAUAGGCCCAAGCGACUGUUUACCAAAAACAUAGGUUUCUGCUAAGUCGCAAGACGAUGUAUAGGAGCUGACGCCUGCCCGGUGCUGGAAGGUUAAGGGGAUCUGUUAGAGCAAUCGAAGCAGUGAACUUAAGCCCCAGUAAACGGCGGCCGUAACUAUAACGGUCCUAAGGUAGCGAAAUUCCUUGUCGGGUAAGUUCCGACCCGCACGAAAGGCGUAAUGAUUUG
This 1984-nucleotide ribosomal RNA is filed under the name human gut metagenome. RNAcentral's name for it is "bacterial LSU rRNA". It matches the Rfam family "Bacterial large subunit ribosomal RNA", at positions 3 to 2011 of the family's 2925-position model. The record is from RNAcentral.